AAUUCGUAGUCAUAUGCUUGUCUCAAAGAUUAAGCCAUGCAUGUCUAAGAUAAGCAAUCUAUACCGGAAACUGCGAAUGGCUCAUUAAAUCAGUUAUCGUUUAUUUGAUAGUACCUUACUACUUGGAUAACCGUGGUAAUUCUAGAGCUAAUACAUGCUAAAAACCCCCCAAGCUUGAAUUCGUAGUCAUAUGCUUGUCUCAAAGAUUAAGCCAUGCAUGUCUAAGUAUAAGCAAUCUAUACCGUGAAACUGCGAAUGGCUCAUUAAAUCAGUUAUCGUUUAUUUGAUAGUACCUUACUACUUGGAUAACCGUGGUAAUUCUAGAGCUAAUACAUGCUAAAAACCCCGACUUCGGAAGGGGUGUAUUUAUUAGAUAAAAAACCAAUGCCCUCCGGGGCUCACUGGUGAUUCAUGAUAACUUAACGAAUCGCAUGGCCUUGUGCCGGCGAUGGUUCAUUCAAAUUUCUGCCCUAUCAACUUUCGAUUGUAAGGUAUUGGCUUACAAUGGUUUCAACGGGUAACGGGGAAUUAGGGUUCUAUUCCGGAGAGGGAGCCUGAGAAACGGCUACCACAUCCAAGGAAGGCAGCAGGCGCGCAAAUUACCCAAUCCCGACACGGGGAGGUAGUGACAAUAAAUACUGAUACAGGGCUCUUUUGGGUCUUGUAAUUGGAAUGAGUACAAUUUAAAUCCCUUAACGAGGAACAAUUGGAGGGCAAGUCUGGUGCCAGCAGCCGCGGGAAUUCCAGCUCCAAUAGCGUAUAUUAAAGUUGUUGCAGUUAAAAAGCUCGUANUUGAACCUUGGGCCUGGUUGGNCGGNCCGCCUCACCGCGUGCACUGAUCCGACCGGGCCUUUCCUUCUGGGGAGCCGCAUGCCCUUCACUGGGUGUGUCGGGGAACCAGGACUUUUACUUUGAAAAAAUUAGAGUGUUCAAAGCAGGCCUAUGCU
This 947-nucleotide ribosomal RNA is filed under the name Ascocoryne sarcoides. RNAcentral describes it as "bacterial SSU rRNA". The stretch from base 171 to 947 matches the Rfam family "Eukaryotic small subunit ribosomal RNA", at positions 1 to 795 of the family's 1831-position model. Lineage: Eukaryota; Fungi; Ascomycota; Leotiomycetes; Helotiales; Gelatinodiscaceae. The record is from RNAcentral.